UGGGUGGAUGAGUGGCGAACGGGUGAGUAACACGUGAGUAACCUGCCCCUUCUUUGGGAUAACGCCCGGAAACGGGUGCUAAUACUGGAUAUUCACUGGCCUUCGCAUGGGGGUUGGUGGAAAGGUUUUUUCUGGUGGGGGAUGGGCUCGCGGCCUAUCAGCUUGUUGGUGGGGUGAUGGCCUACCAAGGCUUUGACGGGUAGCCGGCCUGAGAGGGUGACCGGUCACAUUGGGACUGAGAUACGGCCCAG
This 251-nucleotide ribosomal RNA is filed under the name uncultured bacterium. Its description in RNAcentral is "partial 16S ribosomal RNA". It matches the Rfam family "Bacterial small subunit ribosomal RNA", at positions 84 to 334 of the family's 1533-position model. The record is from RNAcentral.